RNAcentral lists this ribosomal RNA (479 nucleotides) under uncultured bacterium. Its description in RNAcentral is "partial 16S ribosomal RNA". It matches the Rfam family "Bacterial small subunit ribosomal RNA", at positions 28 to 507 of the family's 1533-position model. The record is from RNAcentral.
GACGAACGCUGGCGGCGCGCUUAACACAUGCAAGUCGAGCGAUGAAAUUUCGACAGCUCCCUUCGGGGUGAAGAUGAAAUGGAUUAGCGGCGGACGGGUGAGUAACACGUGAGUAACCUGCCUUUGACAUUGGGAUAGCCUCGGGAAACUGGGAUUAAUACCAAAUGACACUAACUGAUCACAUGAUCAAUUAGUCAAAGAAAUUCGGUCAAAGAUGGACUCGCGGCUGAUUAGCUAGUUGGUGAGGUAACGGCCCACCAAGGCGACGAUCAGUAGCCGGCCUGAGAGGGUGAUCGGCCACAGUGGAACUGAGACACGGUCCAAACUCCUACGGGAGGCAGCAGUGGGGAAUAUUGCACAAUGGGGGAAACCCUGAUGCAGCGACGCCGCGUGAGCGAAGAAGGCCUUCGGGUCGUAAAGCUCUUUUAUGAGGGAAGAUAAUGACGGUACCUCAAGAAAAAGCCCCGGCUAACUACGUG